ACUGGCAGAGCCUCUGGUGCUGCCAGCUCCCACACCACAGGGUUUGGUGUCUCCCCCCAUCUCUGACGGUCACUGUCUUGCAGCGCCGUGGAAGGGGAGAUUUUCCACUUGGGGCUGCGCCUGGAGGAGCUGAAGGAGCGGCUGGAGCCGGGGGCCCGGCGGCAGCUCCCCUCACAGCGCCUGGCGCAGCCUCACACCCCUCCAGCCCCUUCCUCACCCCCAGACACCCAUUCCCCGCACCCCGAGGUGAGCUGGGCAUGGCUGGAUGGGGCUGGGGGGUGCAAAGAUGCUGGGGCGGAGGCACCCUGCUGCACCUGGGGGGGUGGUUGUGCUUCUCCAACCCCCUUUUGUUGUGCCCUGCAGAUCCCUGUGCUGGUGGAGGGUCCCCAGGAGACAGCGGAGGAUGGCAAGGCAGUGAUGGGGGGGUUGCCCCGGCCCCUCUGGCACAAGCAGCUCCAAGUGGAGGAAGAUUUCGGUGAUCUGCUGGAGCAGUACAAGCACUUCAAGUCCUUGCCGGAGUCGCUGAGCCUGGAGCAGCUGAGCCUGGCAGAGAGCGAGACCCAGGAGGAGGCGGAUGGACCUGCAGCAGGGUUCGGUGGCCCCAGCAAGGUCUCCUGCAGGACACGGUCACUGGAGGAGGGGACAGACCCCGAGACCUCCCCCUUGCACCCCCCGCAGUGGACAGCCACACCACUGCCCCCCAGGGAGCCCCCGUGGCCAGAGGGGACACAGGUCCACCCGUCCCCUGCCACUGCUGAGGAGCCACCGGCCACAGCCAAGCCCCCCCCAGGGCUCCACGAGCCACCGCGGGGGCCCCAGUCCUGCUGCAGCAGCGGGAGAGGCAGUGCUGCUGCCCAGCCCCAGCCCUGCAAGGAGCAGCGCAUUGUGUCACCAGAGACGGACAGCGGCUUCGUGGGCUCAGAGGCCAGCAGGGUGUCACCCCCUGUGCACACCCCCGAGCACCGGCCGCCCGGCACUGGGACCCCUCGCUCACUGGGACUCUCCAUCCCCGUCCCCACUACCCUCCGUCCUCUGCGGAAAAGAGAGGCAACCACACUGCCCUCUGAGACAGCGCUGAUGGGCAUCUACCCUGCGGGCAGGCAGGGUGGCGCAGGGGGACCCUGCCUGCCCCCCAGCACCCCCUUGCAGAGCAGCUCCCCCCACCGAUGGGCUGAGAGUGCAGGCAGCGAGGCGGGACCCGACGGUGAUGGCAGUGAGUAG
Molecule: long non-coding RNA, 1221 nt
Filed under: Athene cunicularia (burrowing owl)
Lineage: Eukaryota; Metazoa; Chordata; Aves; Strigiformes; Strigidae
Description: lncRNA (ENSACUG00000014433.1)
Source: RNAcentral